CUUUAGUUUGAAACCCCGAAACCAGGUGAGCUACCCCGAGACAGCCUAUUAAAAUAGGGCUAACCCGUCUCUGUGGCAAAAGAGUGGGAAGAGCUCCGGGUAGAAGUGACAGACCUACCGAACCUGGUGAUAGCUGGUUGCCUGAGAAAUGGAUAGAAGUUCAGCCUCGCACACCCCAAAUCAAAAAUCUUUACCCAAGAUUAUGGGAAAAGUACGAAAGUUAGUUGAAGGGGGUACAGCCCCUUUAACAAAGGAUACAACCUUAACAGGAGAAUAAAGAUCAAAAUACAAAAAACAUCCUGUUCUAGUGGGCCUAAAAGCAGCCACCUAAACAGAAAGCGUUAAAGCUCAGACAGAAAAAAGUUUAUUAUACUGAUAACAAAUCUUAUUUCCCUAAUAAUAUCAGGCUAUCCCAUGCCCCCAUGGGAGAAAUUAUGCUAAAAUGAGUAACAAGAAGACUUGCUCUUCUCCCAGCACAAGUGUAAACCAAAUCGGACAAACCACUGGAAACUAACGAGCCCAAUUAAUAGAGGGUAAUGUAGACAACAAAAAAAUCAAGAAAAACCUACAACUCAAACAUCGUUAACCCCACACUGGAGUGCUAUAUAAAAGGAAAGACUAAAAGAAAGGGAAGGAACUCGGCAAACACAAGCCUCGCCUGUUUACCAAAAACAUCGCCUCCUGCAACUAUAUUUAAGUAUAGGAGGUCCAGCCUGCCCAGUGACUUUGGGUUCAACGGCCGCGGUAUUUUGACCGUGCAAAGGUAGCGCAAUCACUUGUCUUUUAAAUAGAGACCUGUAUGAAUGGCCAAACGAGGGCUUAACUGUCUCCCCCUUCCAGUCAGUGAAAUUGAUCUAUCCGUGCAGAAGCGGGUAUAAACAUACAAGACGAGAAGACCCUUUGGAGCUUAAGGUACAAAGUCCACCCAUGUCAAACAACUUAUUAAAAAGCAAGAACUUAAUGGAAGAUGGACAUUUACCUUCGGUUGGGGCGACCGCGGAGGAAAAACCAGCCUCCGAGUGGAGUGGGCCAAACCCCUAAAACUAAGAGAAACAUCUCUAAGCCACAGAACAUCUGACCAAUAAUGAUCCGACACACAGUCGAUCAACGAACCAAGUUACCCUAGGGAUAACAGCGCAAUCCUCUCCCAGAGUCCAUAUCGACGAGGGGGUUUACGACCUCGAUGUUGGAUCAGGACAUCCUAAUGGUGCAGCCG
RNAcentral lists this ribosomal RNA (1216 nucleotides) under Pseudorasbora pumila (moroco). RNAcentral describes it as "partial 16S ribosomal RNA". It matches the Rfam family "Bacterial large subunit ribosomal RNA", at positions 700 to 2561 of the family's 2925-position model. The record is from RNAcentral. Lineage: Eukaryota; Metazoa; Chordata; Actinopteri; Cypriniformes; Gobionidae.